UCCCUCCUAACCUCAGUCUGCAACACCCCCACCCUCAGCCUCCAACCCUCCCAGCCUCCAACCCUCCCAGCCUCCAAUCCUCCCAUCCUCAGCCUCCAACCCUCCCAGCCUCCAACCCUCCCAGCACCUCAUCCCUCCCAGCCUCCAACCCUCCAGCCUCCAACCCUCUCAGCCUCCAACCCUCCCAGCCUCCAACCCUACCAGCCUCCAACCCUCUCAGUCUCCAACCCUCUCAGCCUCCAACCUGCCCAGCACCUCAUCCCUCCCAGCCUCAGUCUCCAACCCUUCCAGGCUCAUUCUCCAACCCUCCCAGCCUCCAACCCUCCUAGGCUCAGCCUCCAACCCUCCCAGCCUCCAACCCUCCCAGCACCUCAUCCCUCCCAGCCUCCAACCCUCCAGCCUCCAACCCUCUCAGUCUCCAACCCUCUCAGCCUCCAACCCUCCCAGCCUCCAACCCGCCCAGCACCUCAUCCCUCCCAGGCUCAGCCUCCAACCCUUCCAGUCUCAGCCUCCAACCCUCCCAGCCUCCAACACUCCCAGCACCUGAUCCCUCCUAAACUCAGUCUGCAACACCCCCACCCUCAGCCUCCAACCCUCCCAGCCUCCAACCCUCCCAGCCUCCAAUCCUCCCAGCCUCAGCCUCCAACCCUCCCAGCCUCCAACCCUCCCAGCACCUCAUCCCUCCCAGCCUCCAACCCUCCAGCCUCCAACCCUCUCAGCCUCCAACCCUCCCAGCCUCCAACCCUACCAGCCUCCAACCCUCUCAGUCUCCAACCCUCUCAGCCUCCAACCUGCCCAGCACCUCAUCCCUCCCAGCCUCAGUCUCCAACCCUUCCAGGCUCAGCCUCCAACCCUCCCAGCCUCCAACACUCCCAGCACCUGAUCCCUCCCAACCUCAGCCUCCAACACUCCCAGCACCUGAUCCCUCCCAGCCUCAGCCUCCAACCCUCCCAGCACCUGAUCCCUCCCAACCUCAGCCUCCAACCCUCCCAGCACUUCAUCUCUCCCAGCCUCAGCCUCCAACCCUCCCAGCACCUCAUCUCUCCCAGCCUCAGCCUCCAACCCUCCCAGCCUCAGCCUCGAUCCCUCCCAGCCUCAGCCUCCAACCCUCCCAGCCUCAGCCUCCAACCCACCCAGCCAGCCUCAGCCUCCAACCCUCCCAGCAAUUCAGCUCCAGGGGAGACCAACACAGAUACAAUGGAAGGCCAGAAGGAAUUCAGACUGAAAUAUGGAAUCAGAAGCCUGCAUGUGCCUGGGUCAGAAAUAAGGCUUGUCGAUGAAUACAUCUAUCUGGGUGUUUAUUAUGCAGACUGUACUAAGAUUGGGACCAGAACAACUGCCUUCCUACACUUAGCAUUAUAA
Molecule: long non-coding RNA, 1362 nt
Filed under: Oncorhynchus kisutch (coho salmon)
Lineage: Eukaryota; Metazoa; Chordata; Actinopteri; Salmoniformes; Salmonidae
Description: lncRNA (ENSOKIG00005017813.1)
Source: RNAcentral